RNAcentral lists this ribosomal RNA (497 nucleotides) under uncultured bacterium. RNAcentral describes it as "partial 16S ribosomal RNA". It matches the Rfam family "Bacterial small subunit ribosomal RNA", at positions 28 to 507 of the family's 1533-position model. The record is from RNAcentral.
GACGAACGCUGGCGGCGUGCCUAAUACAUGCAAGUUGAGCGCUGAAGGUUGGUACUUGUACCGACUGGAUGAGCAGCGAACGGGUGAGUAACGCGUGGGGAAUCUGCCUUUGAGCGGGGGACAACAUUUGGAAACGAAUGCUAAUACCGCAUAAAAACUUUAAACACAAGUUUUAAGUUUGAAAGAUGCAAUUGCAUCACUCAAAGAUGAUCCCGCGUUGUAUUAGCUAGUUGGUGAGGUAAAGGCUCACCAAGGCGAUGAUACAUAGCCGACCUGAGAGGGUGAUCGGCCACAUUGGGACUGAGACACGGCCCAAACUCCUACGGGAGGCAGCAGUAGGGAAUCUUCGGCAAUAGACGAAAGUCUGACCGAGCAACGCCGCGUGAGUGAAGAAGGUUUUCGGAUCGUAAAACUCUGUUGGUAGAGAAGAACGUUGGUGAGAGUGGAAAGCUCAUCAAGUGACGGAAACUACCCAGAAAGGGACGGCUAACUACGUG